Molecule: ribosomal RNA, 461 nt
Filed under: uncultured bacterium
Lineage: Bacteria
Description: partial 16S ribosomal RNA
Rfam family: Bacterial small subunit ribosomal RNA
Source: RNAcentral
CCUACGGGAGGCAGCAGUGAGGAAUAUUGGUCAAUGGGCGAGAGCCUGAACCAGCCAAGUCGCGUGAAGGAUGACGGCCCUACGGGUUGUAAACUUCUUUUGUCAGGGAGCAAUUGAGUCCACGUGUGGUCUUAGCGAGAGUACCUGAAGAAAAAGCAUCGGCUAACUCCGUGCCAGCAGCCGCGGUAAUACGGAAGGUCCGGGCGUUAUCCGGAUUUAUUGGGUUUAAAGGGAGCGUAGGCCGGUCUUUAAGCGUGCCGUGAAAUUUUGUGGCUCAACCAUGAGAGUGCGGCGCGAACUGGAGACCUUGAGUGCGCGGAAGGCAGGCGGAAUUCGUGGUGUAGCGGUGAAAUGCUUAGAUAUCACGAAGAACCCCGAUUGCGAAGGCAGCUUACUAAACUGUGACUGACAUUGAUGCUCGAAAGUGUGGGUAUCAAACAGGAUUAGAUACCCUAGUAGUC